UACGAAGGGGGCUAGCGUUGCUCGGAAUUACUGGGCGUAAAGCGCACGUAGGCGGCUUUCUAAGUCGGGGGUGAAAUCCUGGAGCUCAACUCCAGAACUGCCUUCGAUACUGGAGAGCUCGAGUCCGGGAGAGGUGAGUGGAACUGCGAGUGUAGAGGUGAAAUUCGUAGAUAUUCGCAAGAACACCAGUGGCGAAGGCGGCUCUCUGGAACGCAACUGACGCUGAGACGCGAAAGCGUGGGGAGCAAACAGG
Molecule: ribosomal RNA, 253 nt
Filed under: uncultured bacterium
Lineage: Bacteria
Description: partial 16S ribosomal RNA
Rfam family: Bacterial small subunit ribosomal RNA
Source: RNAcentral